Molecule: long non-coding RNA, 2000 nt
Filed under: Phascolarctos cinereus (koala)
Lineage: Eukaryota; Metazoa; Chordata; Mammalia; Diprotodontia; Phascolarctidae
Description: lncRNA (ENSPCIG00000004812.2)
Source: RNAcentral
AGCCAUUAGCCACGCUGAAGGAUGCCUACUACGAGGUCACACUCAAACCCCUGGAUGAGGUGUGGCAGGAGAGGACUGAGGAGGCUAUGAAGAGGAUGCAGGCCUAUGUGCCCUCAGGGAUGAAGGACACUUGGCUCAUGAGGCCAAUCCUGCUGUCUCUACAAGCUGUGAAGGGUGCCCUAGAUCUGGCUGCCCACCAGAUACUGAAGUGGGCAGAAGCCAAGUUCUCCAGAGCAAUACGAAGAAUACGGAAACCUUUGUCCAGUAUUUACAGCUUCUCUGCGAGGAACUGCUCUGUGGUGGUAAGGCUUCCAGUGCUGCCAGGAGGGAUCAGCCAAUGGACUUGGCCAAGGUAACCAACUAUCUCAUCGAAGAGAAGUUGCUACAGCCCCUCCGUGAGCUGUAUGGCAUCAACCUCCUGGCGGAGUACUACCGGAUCAAACAUCGGCUGCUGGAGAACCCCUUUGAACACCAUGCAGUGAUGAUUGGGGACAGACACGUGGUGACAUUCGAUGGACAGGCCUAUGACCUUACCUCCAAAUGCAGCCUGUUGCUCGCCAAAGACUUUGCUCACAACUCCUUCAUGUUUUUACUGAACCAGUCAAACACAGGACCUAGAUCCCUGUAUGUGGAGCUGAAUCACACAGCCUUCAUCAUCUAUCCAGGGCUUAAGGUCUACAAGAUAUAUGAUUCUUCCUUGAUGGAAGAGAAUUGUCCGAGCUUGGAUCUGCUACCUGCCAAGGUCAGGGCCAAUGGGAGAAAAGAAGUUCAUAAAAUAGAAUUAUCCAGUGAGAAUGGUGCUAUGGUCUCCUGCGACAUUCAGUCUGAUCUCUGUAGUAUGACACUGGAUGGCUGGAAUCAUGGUAUGUCAGCAGGCAUCUUGGGCACCAAUGACAACGAGGCAGGCAAUGACCUGUUGCUCCCAAAUGGCUCUGUGGCAGGAAACCUGGAUGACUUCAUUGAGGCAUGGCAGGUGGAUGAUGAGUGCCGGACCAAGAGAGGGAAAGCAGAGGUCUGUCUUGGGGCUGCUUCCUCCAGACUCUGCAAAGCAUUCUUUCAGGAUGCCCAUUCUGAGCUCCGUCAUUGCUUCCAAGUGGUAGAUCCUGCCCCGUUCUACAGUAUGUGCAUCCGGGACACCUGUGAGAUAAGUGAAUUACAGGCCGCCUGCGGCAUGGUCUCUGCCUACAUCCACCUGUGCAGCCGAGGCUUCGUUCCCCUGGCAACUCCUCCUCCGUGUGUUUGAGAUUCUGCUCAGGGCAGCCAUAGGCUGACAAAGGAUGGCAAACUCUUUCACCUUCUGACAUCACCCAGCUCCAACAUCCAACAAGCAGUGGUAAUCUUGUAGAGAAUCGUCCCUAGCAAGGGAAGAAAACACAGGCACCCGAGAGAAUGAAGAAAACAAUGAGGAUGCCUAUGGCCUGCUGAAGGGCAGCCAUUUACCGCUCUUUUAAGUAACAUGCAUGACCAAGGACAUGACAGCCUCUCCCAACAGGUUUCAGAGAACCUCUUCCUCCUCCACUGUAAGAGCCUAAGACACUGGGAUUGUAUUGUGCUCUACUCUAGCCCCAAAAGCUUUCCUCUGGCACUUCAGAGGGUGAAAAGAGAAGAGCAAUCUGCUUUGGCUGGAAAGGUGACUUUCUCAUUGCAUAUUUACCAAGCAUCUACUAUAUGAAAUACAGUGGUUCUGGAUCAAUUGUGUCAGCAGUAAGGAGGGGUGGGCUGUCUUAGUUAUUAAUCUCAUCAACUCAGGUUUCUUCCAGCUGUAUUUUGCCAUCAAAUUCCUUUUUGUGACUGGCUUAAAAAAAACAAGAGACCUGACUUACUGCACAUGGCUUCCUUGACCUCAACUGUUACAACUUCCCACCAAGGUUGGAGAAGGUCUGGGGUGCCAUAGCAUUUUCAAAAAGUGGGGAAGAUCUCUUCAGAUUUUCUUGUUAUCAAGUGCUUUUUUAAAAAAUACUGUAAAUAAACUAGAUUCAAAUUUUGAGGUUUGGUGGGAA